CCUACGGGGGGCAGCAGUGAGGAAUAUUGGUCAAUGGGCGCGAGCCUGAACCAGCCAAGUAGCGUGAAGGAUGACUGCCCUACGGUUUGUAAACUUCUUUUAUAAAGGAAUAAAGUGAGGCACGUGUGCCUUUUUGUAUGUACUUUAUGAAUAAGGAUCGGCUAACUCCGUGCCAGCAGCCGCAGUAAUACGGAGGAUCCGAGCGUUAUCCGGAUUUAUUGGGUUUAAAGGGAGCGUGGAUGGGUUGUUAAGUCAGUUGUGAAAGUUUGCGGCUCAACCGUAAAAUUGCAAUGGAUACUGGCAGCCUUGAGUACAGUUGAGGUAGGCGGAAUUCGUGGUGUAGCGGUGAAAUGCUUAGAUAUCACGAAGAACACCGAUUGCGAAGGCAGCUUACUAAACUGACACUGACAUUGAUGCUCGAAAGUGUGGGUAUCAAACAGGAUUAGAUACCCCUGUAGUC
Molecule: ribosomal RNA, 460 nt
Filed under: uncultured bacterium
Lineage: Bacteria
Description: partial 16S ribosomal RNA
Rfam family: Bacterial small subunit ribosomal RNA
Source: RNAcentral